AGGAGGGACGGUGGGGUGCCCUCUGCCAACAUUGCUUACGGUUGUACCCAACUGGCACAUUUGCCCUGGGAGGUGGGGGUGGGGAGGCUUCUUUCCAGUGACCUGGGAGUCCUCUGACAGGAUCCCUCCACCAGCCUCUUCGGAGUGCUGGUCCUCUACCAAGAAGAAGGACACCUGCAGACCAUACAAGUUCAGGGAGAGCUGAGUUUGUGGAUGGUACCUUUCCUGUUUUUCACAUGACUGAGAGGAACCAAACCCAGCCACUCCAGCUCCUGACUCAGAAUGUCCUCAGAAUGAGGGACCAGGGCACCCAGAGACCCGACUUCAUCUGCAGGACAGCGAGUGUCCAUCUGUGACUGACCACUGACUCUCAG
Long non-coding RNA from Fukomys damarensis (Damara mole-rat), 374 nucleotides. RefSeq lists it as uncharacterized. NCBI's taxonomy places the organism in Eukaryota, Metazoa, Chordata, Mammalia, Rodentia, Bathyergidae. The transcript has 3 exons. The record is from RefSeq and is a predicted model, not a curated record.